Molecule: ribosomal RNA, 309 nt
Filed under: uncultured eukaryote
Lineage: Eukaryota
Description: partial 18S ribosomal RNA
Rfam family: Eukaryotic small subunit ribosomal RNA
Source: RNAcentral
CCCUUAGAUGUUCUGGGCGGCCCGCGCACUACAAUGGCGUGUGCAGCGAGUGCCGAAGUAGAGUUUUCCGAGGUAUUCUUGCAAUGCUCGUUUUGAUGGGGAUAGACCCUUGCAACUGUUGGUUUUGAACGAGGAAUUCCUUGUAAGCAUGGUUUAUCAUCCGACGCUGAAUGCGUCCCUGCCCUUUGUACACACCGCCCGUCGCUCCCACCGAUGAGUCGUCCGGUGAAGUUCGUAGACCUCGUGAUCGCGGAUCACUGGGGGAAGCAAAAUGAACCUCGCGGUUUAGAGGAAGGAGAAGUCGUAACA